Daktulosphaira vitifoliae (grape phylloxera) is the source of this 1462-nucleotide RNA transcript. It is a transcript of the gene named 2-Hydroxyacid oxidase 1-like, with no coding region annotated. The transcript has 11 exons. The record is from RefSeq and is a predicted model, not a curated record. Lineage: Eukaryota; Metazoa; Arthropoda; Insecta; Hemiptera; Phylloxeridae.
AUUAAAUUUAUUUAUAGAUAAAUUAAUAUCAAAGAAAUAUUAUUAUCAUAGUAUACACUUAUUGACCUAUGAUAUUUUGUUUCUAUUGAUCCGAUCGAGUAAAGUAAUAUGUUUGGAAAACUUGUAAGUGUAAAAGAUUAUGAAAACUAUGCAGCUAAUACAUUAUCAAAAACAGUUCUUGAUUUCUAUAAAAGUGGAGCUUGUGAUGAAUAUACACUUUCACUUAAUGAACAGGCGUUUAGUAGGUUACGGAUCAUCCCUAAUAUGUUACGUAAUGUUUGCAACCGUAACUACAACUUAACCAUCUUAGGUAAUCAAGUGAAAAUUCCAAUUGGUAUAUCUCCAUGUUCUAUGCAUAAAAUGGCCCAUGAGGAUGGAGAAUGUGCAUCUGCUCAAGCUGCUGGAAAACAUGGAGCAAUAUUUAUACUUGCAACAUUAUCUACGUGUAGCAUAGAAGAAGUAGCACUUGCUGCACCUGAAACUAUUAAAUGGUUUCAAUUAUACAUUUACAAAGAUAAAGAAAUAAAUAAGACAUUAAUAAAACGAGCUGAAAAAGCUGGAUACAAGGCUCUUGUAAUAACUGUUGAUGUUCCAGUUAUGGGUAUUCGAUACAAAGAUGAAAAAAAUAAAUUCUACUUACCUAGUUAUUUGAAACCAGGUAAUUUUACCGAAGAAAAAUAUAUUAUACCCAAAUGUGAUGGUUCUGGUUUAACAAACUAUGUUACUAGUUUAUUUGAAGAAAAACUUGUGUGGGAGGAUGUUAAAUGGCUUAAAAGUAUAACAAAUCUACCAAUAGUUGUAAAAGGAAUUUUAAGUGUAGCCGAUGCUAAAAUAGCUGCUGAUAUUGGAUGCCAUGCAGUUUUUGUUUCAAAUCAUGGUGGUAGACAGCUAGAUACUGCACCUGCUUCUAUUGAAGCUUUACCAAGUAUAGUUAAAGAAGUUGGGCAUAGAAUUGAUGUCUACCUUGAUUGUGGUAUAAGACAUGGAACUGAUGUAUUCAAAGCAUUAGCACUUGGCGCUAAAAUGGUAUUUUUAGCUCGGCCUAUUUUGUGGGGCUUAACAUAUGAUGGUCUAAAAGGAGCUGAACAUAUUUUAGGAAUUAUUAUAAAUGAAUUUGAUAAUACAAUGGCUUUAACAGUUUUUGGUGAAAAUUUUGCUGGAAAUUUAUGUAAAUUAUCAUUUCAAUGCUAUGCAGUGUCUCAGAUCUAACUAACAAUGCUUAUGACUUGUGACGUGGCUAUUUAGGGUUUGAGCCUAAAUACUAAUCAACAUAUUCUAAGCAACCAACAGGGUUGUAGGACAUUAGAUGACAUUAAAAGAGAUAUGGUUGUUCAUGAAUCUAUUUAUUCAAAACUUUGAUUUUUUUUUUAUGUAAAAACAAUUUUACCAAUAAUUUUGUAAAUUAUUUUAUUAUCUUAUCAAAUGUUGAAUUUAUAUAUAUUAUACAGAUAAUUUAAUAAGA